Molecule: ribosomal RNA, 481 nt
Filed under: uncultured bacterium
Lineage: Bacteria
Description: partial 16S ribosomal RNA
Rfam family: Bacterial small subunit ribosomal RNA
Source: RNAcentral
AUUGAACGCUGGCGGCAUGCUUUACACAUGCAAGUCGAACGGCAGCGCGGGGCAACCUGGCGGCGAGUGGCGAACGGGUGAGUAAUAUAUCGGAACGUACCCAGAAGUGGGGGAUAACGUAGCGAAAGUUACGCUAAUACCGCAUACGAUCUACGGAUGAAAGUAGGGGACCGCAAGGCCUUAUGCUUUUGGAGCGGCCGAUAUCUGAUUAGCUAGUUGGUGAGGUAAAGGCUCACCAAGGCGACGAUCAGUAGCUGGUCUGAGAGGACGACCAGCCACACUGGAACUGAGACACGGUCCAGACUCCUACGGGAGGCAGCAGUGGGGAAUUUUGGACAAUGGGCGCAAGCCUGAUCCAGCAAUGCCGCGUGAGUGAAGAAGGCCUUCGGGUUGUAAAGCUCUUUCGUCAGGGAAGAAACGGUAGAGGCUAAUAGCCUUUGCUAAUGACGGUACCUGAAGAAUAAGCACCGGCUAACUACGU